This 460-nucleotide ribosomal RNA is filed under the name uncultured bacterium. Its description in RNAcentral is "partial 16S ribosomal RNA". It matches the Rfam family "Bacterial small subunit ribosomal RNA", at positions 338 to 795 of the family's 1533-position model. The record is from RNAcentral.
CCUACGGGAGACAGCAGUGAGGAAUAUUGGUCAAUGGGCGUAAGCCUGAACCAGCCAAGUCGCGUGAGGGAUGAAGGUUCUAUGGAUCGUAAACCUCUUUUAUAAGGGAAUAAAGUGUGGGACGUGUCCUAUUUUGUAAGUACCUUAUGAAUAAGGAUCGGCUAACUCCGUGCCAGCAGCCGCGGUAAUACGGAGGAUCCGAGCGUUAUCCGGAUUUAUUGGGUUUAAAGGGUGCGUAGGCGACCUGUUAAGUUAGCGGUGAAAGUCCGUGGCUCAACAAUAGAAUUGACGUUGAAACUGGUCGGCUUGAGUAUAUUUGCGGCAGGCGGAAUGCGUGGUGUAGCGGUGAAAUGCUUAGAGAUCACGCAGAACCCCGAUUGCGAAGGCAGCCUGCCAAGCCAUUACUGACGCUGAUGCACGAAAGCGUGGGGAUCAAACAGGAUUAGAUACCCGGGUAGUC